GCAUAUUGCAUCAAUGCAUAUAGUUAUAAUUCAUUAUUCAUGAUGCAUGAUCACGACUACUUGCUACACAUGUGCCUUAAUUGUGUUUUAAUACGUGAUCGAAUACUUUUCUUAAACAGUGAUAAUACAUGAUACAUGUUAUUGAACUUCUACUUUAUGAUUUAACAUUAACUUAAAUGAUUUAUUGUAGUGAGAAGUUAAGUUUCUCGCUAAACGGUGAUAUAUUUGUCUUAGAUGCAUUUCUGCAUUUUAAUUAUGUUUUAAUAUGAUUAAUUACAUAUGUAAUUAUUUGAAGUAACUCAUAUUAGACUAAAACCAAAAGUAUGCAAAAGGGUGCAUUUUGAUUGGUUGGUUGACUAGGUUGCACGAGACCAUUCUGAAAUUGUUUACACUUGAUUAUAAUGAGUAAGCAUCAGCCCAUAUCUUAUCUCAAGCUAUAAAAACGUGGAGGAACCACAAGAAUCCAGCAAAUACAAGCCUUCCAAUCACCAUCCUCCAUUUGGUCUUGUUGGGAAUGGGUAGAUAAGUGAAGACUUUGUGUUUUGGUCUUCAUUUUCACUUGUCUUCUUCCAAAAACGACCAGACCUAUUUCCUUAAUCUUGUCUUCAUAUUUCUUCACUUCCGUACUUACAUAAGAGAGCAUCAAACCAUAAAAAUCAUAGAAGUAGAGCUAGAACAAGUUCUGCCCCUUUUCUAGCUGAAAAUCCUAUGUUUUGAAGUUGAAUUCAUCUCUAAUCAAGGCUUCUAGCACACCUUAUCUAAGACUAAUCCUUUCAUUUCAUAAACCAUUAUUGAUCUUGAGGUAAGUUGAAGCUUUCAUUUUCACAUCGUAAGAACCUAAUUAUGUGCGCUUUAAUGUGACUUUUGCUAUGUAUUCUCUAUGAUGUUUGAAUGAUUGAUGAGUCAUAGUGAUAUGAAAGAAUAUGUUUUGAAAAUGGGAGUAUGGUACUUGAUUGAUGGUCGAGUAGGCAAGGGACGCGGGAGGAACCGGCGGACCCAACACAUGGUGGCAAAUACCUGAGGUCGAAAGACCAGUAUGGAAAACCCACAAUUAAAGAAAUGAAAUACGGCUAAUACCUGAGGUCGAAAGGCCGGUAUGGAAACCCCCGUAUUAUCUAUUGGCCAAAUUUGAUGAACAGGUUCCAAAAAUCAAAGUCUAUUGCUAUCAGUCAAGUACCACACUUCAAGGGUACCCGAUAAAGAGAAGGAUUUCAAAGAAAAGGAUCACGAAUGAAGUUAUAGAUGUGAUAUUGUACUUAUUGAAUGGAUAAUGUGUUAUGUGAUUGAUAUAUUGCUAUUACAUCAGUUUCAACUUGCUGAGCCAUUAGCUCAUUAGGUUCUUAUGAUGCAGGUAAUGAUGUACAUGUUUAGAAGUUGACCUAGCCAAGAGCGGCUAGUCAGAUAUUUGUUCAUAUGCCAUGCUUCGAGCCAUUUUUGUAGCCGAGCAGAAACUCUGAUUUCAUUUUGUUAGCCGCUCUAUUAUGGUUUUUGUACAAUGUAAUUUUGUAAACAAUGAAUAUAUAUAUGUACGGAUUUUGAGAAAGUACUAAGUUUGAUUUCUUUUCAAAGCAUAUAACGUAUUUUUGUAUUAAAACCAUAAUGUUUAAGUAUAUAUAUAAAAAGCUUAGCAUCCCUAACUUAAUGGCGGUGAUCCGAUUGGAUUCUGCUGUUAGGUUGUGCGGUGUUACAUUUUUGGUAUCAGAGCGGAGGUUUAAAAUCUUUUCUGAAGACAGAAGAAGGCAUAUGAACAUACUUUGGCUGGGAAGCUAGGUUAACUCUUUUCUUAUUUACCUAUGUGUUUAAUUUAUAUGUUGCAUAGCAAAUAUCCAGAAUUGUUCGGUACGUCAAAUUUCGAGGGCGAAAUUUUAUAAGGAGGGAAGAAUUGUAAUGCCCAACCAUCCAUACAUGGCCAAUAAUAAGCAUAUUGCAUCAAUGCAUAUAGUUAUAAUUCAUUAUUCAUGAUGCAUGAUCACGACUACUUGCUACACAUGUGCCUUAAUUGUGUUUUAAUACGUGAUCGAAUACUUUUCUUAAACUGUGAUAAUAUAUGAUACAUGUUAUUGAACUUCUACUUUAUGAUUUAACAUUAACUUAAAUGAUUUAUUGUAGUGAGAAGUUAAGUUUCUCGCUAAACGGUGAUAUAUUUGUCUUAGAUGCAUUUCUGCAUUUUAAUUAUGAUUAAUUACAUAUGUAAUUAUUUGAAGUAACUCAUACUAGACUAAAACCAAAAGUAUGCAAAAUGGUGCAUUUUGAUUGGUUGGUUGACUAGGUUGCACGAGACCAUUCUGAAAUUGUUUACACUUGAUUAUAAUGAGUAUGCAUCAGCCCAUUUCUUAUCUCAAGCUAUAAAAACGUGGAGGAACCACAAGAAUCCAGCAAAUACAAGCCUUCCAAUCACCAUCCUCCAUUUGGCCUUGUUGGGAAUGGGUAGAUAAGUGAAGACUUUGUGUUUUGGUCUUCAUUUUCACUUGUCUUCUUCCAAAAAUGACCAGACCUAUUUCCUUAAUUUUGUCUUCAUAUUUCUUCACUUCCAUACUCACAUAAGAGAGCAUCAAACCAUAAAAACUCAUAGAAGUAGAGCUAGAACAAGUUCUGCACCUUUUCUAGCUGAAAAUCCUAUGUUUUGAAGUUGAAUUCAUCUCUAAUCAAGGCUUCUAGCACACCUUAUCUAAAACUGAUCCUUUCAUUUCAUAAACCAUUAUUGAUCUUGAGGUAAGUUGAAGCUUUCAUUUGCACAUCGUAAGAACCUAAUUAUGUGCGCUUUAAUGUGACUUUUGCUAUGUAUUCUCUAUAAUGUUUGAAUGAUUGAUGAGUCAUAGUGAUAUGAAAGAAUAUGUUUUGAAAAUGGGAGUAUGGUACUUGAUUGAUGGUCGAGUAGGCAAGGGACGCAGGAGGAACCGGCGGACCCAACACAUGGUGGCAAAUACCUGAGGUCGAAAGACCAGUAUGGAAAACCCACAAUUAAAGAAAUGAAAUACGGCUAAUACCUGAGGUCGAAAGGCCGGUAUGGAAACCCCCGUAUUAUCUAUUGGCCAAAUUUGAUGAACAGGUUCCGAAAAUCAAAGUCUAUUGCUAUCAGUCAAGUACCACACUUCAAGGGUACCCGAUAAAGAGAAGGAUUUCAAAGAAAAGGAUCACGAAUGAAGUUAUAGAUGUGAUAUUGUACUUAUUGAAUAGAUAAUGUGUUAUGUGAUUGAUAUAUUGCUAUUACAUCAGUUUCAACUUGCUGAGCCAUUAGCUCAUUAGGUUCUUAUGAUGCAGGUAAUGAUGUACAUGUUUAGAAGUUGACCUAGCCAAGAGCGGCCAGUCAGAUAUUUGUUCAUAUGCCAUGCUUCGAGCCAUUUUUGUAGCCGAGCAGAAACUCUGAUUUCAUUUUGUUAGCCGCUCUAUUAUGGUUUUUGUACAAUGUAAUUUUGUAAACAAUGAAUAUAUAUAUGUACGGAUUUUGAGAAAGUACAAAGUUUGAUUUCUUUUCAAAGCAUAUAACGUAUUUUUGUAUUAAAACCAUAAUGUUUAAGUAUAUAUAUAAAAAGCUUAGCAUCCCUAACUUAAUGGCGGUGAUCCGAUUGGAUUCUGCUGUUAGGUUGUGCGGUGUUACAUUUUUGGUAUCAGAGCGGAGGUUUAAAAUCUUUUCUGAAGACAGAAGAAGGCAUAUGAACAUACUUUGGCUGGGAAGCUUGGUUAACUCUUUUCUUAUUUACCUAUGUGUUUAAUUUAUAUGUUGCAUAGCAAAUAUCCAGAAUUGUUCGGUACGUCAAAUUUCGAGGGCGAAAUUUUAUAAGGAGGGAAGAAUUGUAAUGCCCAACCAUCCAUACAUGGCCAAUAAUAAGCAUAUUGCAUCAAUGCAUAUAGUUAUAAUUCAUUAUUCAUGAUGCAUGAUCACGACUACUUGCUACACAUGUGCCUUAAUUGUGUUUUACUACGUGAUCGAAUACUUUUCUUAAACUGUGAUAAUACAUGAUACAUGUUAUUGAACUUCUACUUUAUGAUUUAACAUUAACUUAAAUGAUUUAUUGUAGUGAGAAGUUAAGUUUCUCGCUAAACGGUGAUAUAUUUGUCUUAGAUGCAUUUCCGCAUUUUAAUUAUGUUUUAAUAUGAUUAAUUACAUAUGUAAUUAUUUGAAGUAACUCAUAUUAGACUAAAACCAAAAGUAUGCAAAAUGGUGCAUUUUGAUUGGUUGGUUGACUAGGUUGCACGAGACCAUUCUGAAAUUGUUUACACUUGAUUAUAAUGAGUAUGCAUCAGCCCAUAUCUUAUCUCAAGCUAUAAAAACGUGGAGGAACCACAAGAAUCCAGCAAAUAAAAGCCUUCCAAUCACCAUCCUCCAUUUGGCCUUGUUGGGAAUGGGUAGAUAAGUGAAGACUUUGUGUUUUGGUCUUCAUUUUCACUUGUCUUCUUCCAAAAACGACCAGACCGAUUUCCUUAAUCUUGUCUUCAUAUUUCUUCACUUCCAUACUCACAUAAGAGAGCAUCAAACCAUAAAAACUCAUAGAAGUAGAGCUAGAACAAGUUCUGCACCUUUUCUAGCUGAAAAUCCUAUGUUUUGAAGUUGAAUUCAUCUCUAAUCAAGGCUUCUAGCACACCUUAUCUAAAACUGAUCCUUUCAUUUCAUAAACCAUUAUUGAUCUUGAGGUAAGUUGAAGCUUUCAUUUGUACAUCGUAAGAACCUAAUUAUGUGCGCUUUAAUGUGACUUUUGCUAUGUAUUCUCUAUGAUGUUUGAAUGAUUGAUGAGUCAUAGUGAUAUGAAAGAAUAUGUUUUGAAAAUGGGAGUAUGGUAUUUGAUUGAUGGUCGAGUAGGCAAGGGACGCGGGAGGAACCGGCGGACCCAACACAUGGUGGCAAAUACCUGAGGUCGAAAGACCAGUAUGGAAAACCCACAAUUAAAGAAAUGAAAUACGGCUAAUACCUUAGGUCGAAAGGCCGGUAUGGAAACCCACGUAUUAUCUAUUGGCCAAAUUUGAUGAACAGGUUCCGAAAAUCAAAGUCUAUUGCUAUCAGUCAAGUACCACACUUCAAGGGUACCCGAUAAAGAGAAGGAUUUCAAAGAAAAGGAUCACGAAUGAAGUUAUAGAUGUGAUAUUGUACUUAUUGAAUGGAUAAUGUGUUAUGUGAUUGAUAUAUUGCUAUUACAUCAGUUUGAACUUGCUGAGCCAUUAGCUCAUUAGGUUCUUAUGAUGCAGGUAAUGAUGUACAUGUUUAGAAGUUGACCUAGCCAAGAGCAGCCAGUCAGAUAUUUGUUCAUAUGCCAUGCUUCGAGCCAUUUUUGUAGCCGAGCAGAAACUCUGAUUUCAUUUUGUUAGCCGCUCUAUUAUGGUUUUUGUACAAUGUAAUUUUGUAAACAAUGAAUAUAUAUAUGUACAUAUUUUGAGAAAGUACAAAGUUUGAUUUCUUUUCAAAGCAUAUAACGUAUUUUUAUAUUAAAACCAUAAUGUUUAAGUAUAUAUAUAUAUAAAAAGCUUAGCAUCCCUAACUUAAUGGCGGUGAUCCGAUUGGAUUCUGCUGUUAGGUUGUGCGGUGUUACAUUUUUGGUAUCAGAGCGGAGGUUUAAAAUCUUUUCUGAAGACAGAAGAAGGCAUAUGAACAUACUUUGGCUGGGAAGCUUGGUUAACUCUUUUCUUAUUUACCUAUGUGUUUAAUUUAUAUGUUGCAUAGCAAAUAUCCAGAAUUGUUCGGUACGUCAAAUUUCGAGGGCGAAAUUUUAUAAGGAGGGAAGAAUUGUAAUGCCCAACCAUCCAUACAUGGCCAACAAUAAGCAUAUUGCAUCAAUGCAUAUAGUUAUAAUUCAUUAUUCAUGAUGCAUGAUCACGACUACUUGCUACACAUGUGCCUUAAUUGUGUUUUAAUACGUGAUCGAAUACUUUUCUUAAACUGUGAUAAUACAUGAUACAUGUUAUUGAACUUCUACAUUAUGAUUUAACAUUAACUUAAAUGAUUUAUUGUAGUGAGAAGUUAAGUUUCUCGGUAAACGGUGAUAUAUUUGUCUUACAUGCAUUUCUGCAUUUUAAUUAUGUUUUAAUAUGAUUAAUUACAUAUGUAAUUAUUUGAAGUAACUCAUAUUAGACUAAAACCAAAAGUAUGCAAAAGGGUGCAUUUUGAUUGGUUGGUUGACUAGGGUUGUUUACACUUGAUUAUAAUGAGUAAGCAUCAGCCCAUAUCUUAUCUCAAGCUAUAAAAACGUGGAGGAACCACAAGAAUCCAGCAAAUACAAGCCUUCCAAUCACCAUCCUCCAUUUGGCCUUGUUGGGAAUGGGUAGAUAAGUGAAGACUUUGUGUUUUGGUCUUCAUUUUCACUUGUCUUCUUCCAAAAAUGACCAGACCUAUUUCCUUAAUUUUGUCUUCAUAUUUCUUCACUUCCAUACUCACAUAAGAGAGCAUCAAACCAUAAAAACUCAUAGAAGUAGAGCUAGAACAAGUUCUGCAACUUUUCUAGCUGAAAAUCCUAUGUUUUGAAGUUGAAUUCAUCUCUAAUCAAGGCUUCUAGCACACCUUAUCUAAGACUGAUCCUUUCAUUUCAUAAACCAUUAUUUAUCUUGAGGUAAGUUGAAGCUUUCAUUUG
This 6557-nucleotide long non-coding RNA is filed under the name Erythranthe guttata (spotted monkey flower). RNAcentral describes it as "long non-coding RNA (EGUT_LNC002572)". Lineage: Eukaryota; Viridiplantae; Streptophyta; Magnoliopsida; Lamiales; Phrymaceae. The record is from RNAcentral.